This 452-nucleotide ribosomal RNA is filed under the name uncultured bacterium. Its description in RNAcentral is "bacterial SSU rRNA". It matches the Rfam family "Bacterial small subunit ribosomal RNA", at positions 340 to 786 of the family's 1533-position model. The record is from RNAcentral.
UACGGAAGGCAGCAGUGGGGAAUAUUGCACAAUGGGCGCAAGCCUGAUGCAGCCAUGCCGCGUGUAUGAAGAAGGCCUUCGGGUUGUAAAGUACUUUCAGUCGUGAGGAAGGUGUUAAGGUUAAUAACCUUAGCAAUUGACGUUAGCGACAGAAGAAGCACCGGCUAACUCCGUGCCAGCAGCCGCGGUAAUACGGAGGGUGCGAGCGUUAAUCGGAAUUACUGGGCUAAAGGGCACGCAGGCGGUUAAUUAAGUUGGAUGUGAAAUCCCCGGGCUUAACCUGGGAAUGGCAUUCAAGACUGGUUAGCUAGAGUCUUGUAGAGGGGGUAGAAUUCCAUGUGUAGCGGUGAAAUGCGUAGAGAUGUGGAGGAAUACCGGUGGCGAAGGCGGCCCCUGGACAAAGACUGACGCUCAUGUGCGAAAGCGUGGGGAGCGAAACAGGAUUAGAUACC